Molecule: ribosomal RNA, 404 nt
Filed under: Bacillus cereus
Lineage: Bacteria; Bacillati; Bacillota; Bacilli; Caryophanales; Bacillaceae
Description: bacterial SSU rRNA
Rfam family: Bacterial small subunit ribosomal RNA
Source: RNAcentral
UUUAUUGGAGAGUUUGAUCCUGGCUCAGGAUGAACGCUGGCGGCGUGCCUAAUACAUGCAAGUCGAGCGAAUGGAUUAAGAGCUUGCUCUUAUGAAGUUAGCGGCGGACGGGUGAGUAACACGUGGGUAACCUGCCCAUAAGAUUGGGAUAACUCCGGGAAACCGGGGCUAAUACCGGAUAAUAUUUUGAACCGCAUGGUUCGGAAUUAAAAGGCGGCUUCGGCUGUUACUUAUGGAUGGACCCGCGUCGCAUUAGCUAGUUGGUGAGGUAACGGCUCACCAAGGCAACGAUGCGUAGCCGACCUGAGAGGGUGAUCGGCCACACUGGGACUGAGACACGGCCCAGACUCCUACGGGAGGCAGCAGUAGGGAAUCUUCCGCAAUGGACGAAAGUCUGACGGAGC